UGUGUUUUUGGUGAGUUUAAGUCGGCAAAAAUACACGAAACUGCCCUAAAACACAUUUUUACCGACUAAAGAUAAGACAGAAGGUAGGCCACCACAUCACUGUCUUUUGGACAACAUUCAAGUUCAGCUGGCAACAUGUCAUUUAACAACCGACAGAUGUUGAAGCCCUCCAAUAAUGGAGGAAUAAUGGAUUUCUUCAAGAGCCAGAAAUCCAACCAGACAGAGGAAAGCAGUCCAACACCACAACCUGCUGCAGCGGUUUGUCAUUUAUUUUAAAGCUGUUUUUGGCAAAUAAUAAUCUCUGACAGUUUACACUGACA
Molecule: long non-coding RNA, 320 nt
Organism: Centropristis striata (black sea bass)
Lineage: Eukaryota; Metazoa; Chordata; Actinopteri; Perciformes; Serranidae
Exons: 3
Source: RefSeq, a predicted model, not a curated record